GCCAGAAGUACACUGCGGCGAUCCCGGAGAGGCAGUUCUUAACUGGCAUCAGCGCUGCGGCCGGAGGCUCGGCUGGUUACCAGUUCCACCUUGGCUUGUGCAACCACCCUGGAUCCGCGAACUCUGUGCAGCUGCUCCGUCCACCAUAUCUUGCGGCGGCGAGCGCUAAGAAUUCAUGCUAAGACACUCGAUUCAGCCAAGAGGUGACACCAAAUGUGAUCAGAAGCCAUGCCCCUGGUGAAGAGGUGUACUGAACCCGGCCUGGCCCAGUGAGGUUACUAGAGAAUUGGGAAAGGCUUAAAUAAGUAUCCUGCACAUGGUUAUCAAAUCAUUGCAAAGUCUUGAAAAUCAUCUGGAAUGCUUGUUAAAAAUGCAGAUUUCUGGGCAGCCAGAAACCUUGCACUAGUCAAGAGCAACACUAAGACCCACCUGUCAUUUAUAUUGAGGCUUCCUGCCCGGUGGGUUCAUCAGCAAGCCAGAAUGAAUCACCAUUGCUGUGUGUGGAUCCUUGUGAGGCAGCUGGGAAGUCUUGGCUAAAUUGUGAAGGAUGUCUUUUGAAAAGUGUUCUAGAGAGUCUACUGAUUUUCCCACAUGAGUGAACGUGUAGCAGAAGAGAGGAUCCUCUCAGUGAUUAAGGAGACCUUAGAAACAACUUGUUGAGUUCUCACCAUGAAUACCAUUGGAAUUGCAGUUGGAAUGGCAUUAAACAUGUAGAUUAAUUUUUGGAGAGCGAUCAUCUUUCUAAUCUUCUCCUAUAUGAAUGUGAGAGCAUGAGCUGUGGAGAGGGGCAGAGGAGGGAAGAGAGAGAGAGAAUCCCAAGGAGGCUCCGUGCCCAGCACAGAGCCUGAACCAGGACUCGAUCCUACAACUCUGAGGUCAUGACCCGAGCCAAAAUCAAGAGUUGGACACUCAACCAACCAAGCCACCCAGUGACAAAAUGAAGGAAUUCACCCCAAAAGAAAGAACAGGAAGAAAUGACAGCCAGCAGCUUAAUCAACACAGAUGUAAGCAAGAUGUCUGAACUAGAAUUUAGAACCACGAUACUAAGAAUAGUAGCUGGAGUUGAAGAAAGCCUAGAAACCUUUUCUGUGGAGAUAAAAGAAGUAAAUCUAGUCAGGACGAAAAUAAAAUUGCUAUAAACGAGAUGCAAUCUUGAGUGUAUGCCAAGAUGACAAUAAUGGAUGAAGCAGAGCAGCGAAUCCGCUAUAAAGAAAAAAAUUGUGGAAAAUAAUGAAGCAGGAAAAAGAGGGAAACAAAGGCAAAGAGCACAAUACAAGACUUAGAGAACUCAGUGACUUAUUAAAAAGGAAUAACAUCCAAAUCAUAGGAACAUAGGAGUUGAAAAGAAAGAAAAAGGGUCAGUGAGCAAAUUAUAGCAGAAACCUUUCCUAAUCUGGGAAAGGACACAGACAUCAAAAUCCAAGAAUCACAGAGAACUCCCAUUAGAUUAAACAAAAACCAACCAUCAAAAAGGCAUAUCCUAGUCAAAUUCACAAAAUACAUAGACAAGGAAAGAAUUAUAAAACCAACAAGGGAAGGGUGCCUGGGUGGCUCAGUCAGUAAGCAUCCGACUUCAGCUCAGAUCAUGAUCUUCUGGUCUAUGAGUUCAAACCCUGCAUCGGGCUCUGUGCUGACAGCUCAGAGCCUGGAUCCUGCUUUGGAUUCUGUAUCUCCCUCUCUCUCUGCCCCUCCACCAGUCGCACUCUAUGUCUCUUUCUCGCUCUCAAAAGUAAAUAAACAAUUACAAAUUAAAAACAACAAGGGAAAAAAAUCCUUAACCUAUAAGCGAAGACAGUUCACGUUCACAGCAGACCUAUCCAUAGAAACUUGGCAGGCCAGAAGGGAGUGGCAGGAUAUAUUCAACAUGCUGAAUCAGGAAAAUGUGCAGCCAAGAAUUCUUUAUACAGCAGGGCUGUCAUUCAAAAUAGAAGGAGAUAAAGUGUUUCCCAGAUAAACAAAAACUAAAGGAGUUCAUGAUCACUUAACUAGCCCUGCAAAAAAUUUUAAGGAGGACUCUUUGAGUGGAGAAAAGACAAAACAAAACAAAAAAGUCAAAAGCACUACAGACAACACAAUGGCACUAAAUUCAUAACUUUCAGUACUCGCUCUAAAUGUCAAUGUACUAAACGCUCCAAUCAAAAGACAUAGGGUAUCAGCAUGGAUAAGAAAACAAGGCCCAUCUAUAUGCUGCUUACAAUAGACCCAUUUUAAACCUAAAGACACCUGUAGAUUGAAAGUAAGGGGGUGGAGAACCAUCUAUCAUGCUAAUGAUUGUCAGAAGAAAGCUGGAGUAGCCAUACCUAUAUCAGACAAAAUAUUUUAAAAUAAAGGCUGUAACAAGUGAUGAAGAAGGGCAUUAUAUCAUAAUCACGGGGUGUAUCCACCAAGAAGACCUAACAAUGGUAAAUAUUUAUGCCCUCAACUGAAAGCCCCUGAAUAUAUAAAUCAUUAAUUACAAACAUAAAGAAACUCAUUGAUAAUAAUACCAUCAUUAGUAAGAGACUUCAACACCCCACUUGGAACAAUGAACAAAUCAUCUAAGCAGAAAAUCAACAAGGAGACAUGGCUUUGAAUGACAUGCUGGACUCGAUGGACUUAACAGAUAAAUUCAGAACACUUCAUCCUAAAGAAGCAGAAUACAAAUUUUACUCGAGUGCACAUGGGACAUUCUCCAGAAUAGAUCACAUACUGGGACACAAAUCAGCCCUCAAUAAUACAAAAAAGGUCGAGGUCAUACCAUGCAUAUUUUCAGACCACAACACUAUGAAACUUGAAAUCAACCACAAGAAAAAAUUUGGAAAGACAAUGAAUACUUGUAGAUUAAAGAACAUCCUACUAAAGAAUGAAUGGAUCAACCAAUAAAUUAAAGAGGACAUUAAAAAGUACAUGGAAGCCAAUGAAAAGGAAACCACGACAGCCCAAAAGCUCAGGGAUGUGGCAAAGGUGGUCAGAAGAGGGAAGUAUAUAGCAAUCCAGCCCUUCCUAAAGAAGGAAGAAAAGUCUCAAAUACAUAACCUAACCUUAGACCUAAAAGAGCUGGGUAAAGAACAGCAAAUAAAGCCCAAAACCAACAGAAGAAGGAAAUAAUAAGGAUAAGAGCAGAAAUCAAUGAUAUCAAAAUCACAAAAACAGAACAGAUCAAUGAAACUAGGAGCUGGUUUUUUGAAAGAAUUAACCAAAUGGACAAAGCCCUGGCCAGAUUGAUCAAAAAGAAAAAGGAAAGGACCCAAAGUAAUAAAAUCACAAAUGAAAGAGGAGAGAUCACAACAAACACCACAGAAAUACAAACAACAAUAAGAGAAUAUUAGGAGAAAUUAUAUGCCAAGAAGUUGGGGAAUCUGGAAGAAAUGCACAAAUUCCUAGAACAUAUAAACUACCAAAAUUGAAACAGGAAGAAAUAGAAAAUUUAAACAGACCCAUAAUCAGUAAAGAAAUUGAAUCAGUAAUCAAAAAUCUCCCAAAAAAUAGGAGACCAGAGCCAGGUGACUUUCCAGGGGAUUUCUACCAAACAUUUAAGAAAGAGUAACACCUACUCUUUUGCAGCUGUUCCAAAAUAUAGAAAUGGAAGGAAAACUGCCAAACUCAUUCUAUGAGUCCAGUAUUACUUUGGUUCCAAAACCAAAGACCCCACUAAAAAGGAGAACUACAGAACAAUUUCCCUGAUGAACAUGGAUGAAAAAAUGCUCAACAAGAUACUAGCAAACCGGAUCCAACAAUACAUUAAAAGAAUUAUUCACCAUGAUCCAGUGGGAUUUAUUCCUGUAAUGCAGAGCUGUUUCAAUAUCUGCAAAUCAAUGUGAUACAUCACAUGAAUAAAAGAAAGGAUAAGAACCACAUGAUCCUCUCAACAGUUGCAGAGAAAGCAAUUGACAAAAUACAGCAUCCUUUAUUAACAAAAACCCUCAAGAAAGUAGAGAUAGAGGGAUCAUACCCCAAGAUCAUAAAAGCCAUAUACAAAAAAACCAUAUACAAAAGACCUGGAGCUAGUAUCAUCCUCAAUGGGGAAAAGUUGAGAGCUUUUCCAUUAAGGUCAGGAACAUGACAGGGAUGUCCAUGCUCACUGCUAUUCAACAUAGUGUUGGAAGUCCUAUCCUGAGCAGACAACACAAAGAAAUAAAAGGCAUCCAAAUCAACAAGGAGGAAGUCAAACUUUCAUUCUUCGCAGAUGACAUGAUACUCUAUAUGGAAAACACAAAAGACUCCACCAAAAACUUGCUAGAACAGAUACAUGAAUUCAACAAGGUUGCAGGAUAUAAAAUCAAUGUAGAGAAAUCAGGUGCAUUUCUAUACACCAAUAAUGAAGCAACAGAGAGGGAAAUCAAGGAAUUGAUCCCAUUUACAGUUGCACCAAAACCCAUAAAAUACCUAGAAAUAAACCUAAUUGAAGAGGUAAAAAAACUAUAUGCUGAAAACUAUAGAAAGGUUAUGAAAGAAAUGAAGACACCAAAAAAUGGAAAAAUAUUCCAUGCUUAUGGAUUGGAAGAACAAAUAUUGUUAAAAUGUAGAUACUACUCAAAGCAAUCUAUGUAUUCAAUGAAUUCCUAUUAAAAUAACAGUAGAAUUCUUCACAGAGCUAGAACAAAUAAUUCUAAAAUUUAUAUGGAACCAGAAAAGACAUUGAAUGGCCAAAGAAAUCCUGAAAAAGAAAACCAAAGCUGGAGGCAUCAUAAUUCCGGACUUCAAGCUGUAUUACAAAGCUGUAACCAUCAAGACAGUAUGGUAUUAACACAAAACAGACAGACCAGUGGAACAGAAUAGGGAACCCAGAAAUGGACCCACAAAUGUAAGACCAACUAAUCUUUGAUAAAUUGGGAAAGAAUAUCCAAUGGAAAUAACAGUCUCUUCAGGAAAUGGUUCUGGGAAAACUGGACAGUGACAUUUAGAGGAAAGAACCUGGACCGCUUUCUUAAAACAUACACAAAAAUAAACUCAAAAUGGAUGACAGACCCAAACAUGAGACAAGAAGCCAUUAAAAUCCUAGAGAAAACAGGCAACAACCUCUUUGACCUCAGCCACAUCAACUUCGUACUUGACGUGUCUUUAGAGGCAAGGGAAACAAAAGCAAAAAUGAACUAUUGGGGCCUCAUCUAGAUAAAAAGCUUCUGCACAGUGAAGGAUACAAUUAGCAAAACUAAAAGGCAACCAACAGAACGGGAGAAGACAUUUGCAAAUGACAUAUCAGAUAAAGGGUUAGUAUCCAAAAUCUAAAAAUAAACUUACCAAGCUCAACAUCCAAAAAACAAAUACUCCACUGAAGAAAUGGGUAACGACAUGAAUAGACACUUCUCUAAAGAAAACAUCCAGAUGACUAACAGACACAUGAAAAAAAUGCUCAACAUCAUUCAUCUUUAGGGAAAUACAAAGCAAAACCUCUAUGAGAUACCACCUCACACCUGUCAGAGUGACUAAAAUUAACAACUCAGGCAACAACAGAUGUUGGUGAGGAUGUGGAGAAAGGGAACCCUUUUACACUGCUAGUGGGAAUGCAAACUGAUGCAGCUACUCUGGAGAACAGUCAGGAGGUUCCUCAAGAAACUACAAAUAGAACUAUCCUAUGACCCAACAAUUGCAUUACUAGGUAUUUAUCCAAGGGAUACAGGUGUGCUGUUUCGAAGGGACACAUGCACCCCAAUGUUUAUGGCAGCACUAUCAACAAUCGCCAAAGUAUGGAAAGUGCCCAAAUGUCCAUCGACUGAUGAAUGGAUAAAGAAGAAGUUGGUAUGUAUGCACAAUGGAAUAUUACUCAGCAAUCAAAAAGAAUAAAAUCUUGACAAUUGCAACUACAUGGAUAGAACUAGAGUGUAUUGUGCUAAGCAAAAUAAGUCAGAGAAAGACAAAUAGCAUAUGAUGUCACUCAUAUGGAAUUUAAGAUAUGAAACAGAUUAACAUAAGGGAAGAGAAGUAAAAAUAAUACAAAACAGAGAGAGAGGUCAACCAUAAGAGUCUCUUAAAUACAGAGAACAAAUUGAGGGUUGCUGGAUGGGUGUUAGGUGGGGGGGAUGAGAUAAAUGGGCAAGGGGCAUUAAGGAGGACAUUUGUUGCAAUGAGCACUGGGUGUUAUAUUUAAGUGAUGAACCACUAAAUUCUAUUCCUAAAAUCAUUAUUAUACUAUAUGUUAACUAACUUGGAUUUAAAUGUUUAAGAAAAGAAUUUUUAAAAAGAGCCGAAUGAAAAAUGAAUAUAUCUGUACUAUUCCAUUUAUUCAUUCAUUCAUUCAUUCAUUCAUAAUUAACAUACAAUGUUAUAUCAGUUUCAGGUGUACAAUAUAAUGAUUCAACAAUUCUACAGAUUACUUAGUGCUCAUCGUAAGUGUUCUCUUAAUCCUCUUGACCUAUUGACCCAACCACCUCCCCUUGGGCAACCACCAAUUUAUUCUAUAUAUAAGAGUCUGGUAUUUUGUUUCUCCUCUUUCUUUCUCUGUCUCUCUCUGUCUCUCUCUCUGUCUUUUUAAUUAGGCUUCAUGACCAUCAAUCACCCCAAAGCAGGGUGAACCCAUGACCCUGAGAUCAAGAGUCGGACGCUCAACCAACUGAUUAACCCAGGCGCCCCUGUUUCUCUUUUUUUCCUUUGUUCAUUUGUGUUUUUUUUUCUUAAACUCCACUUGUGAGUGAAAUCAUAUGGUAUUUGUCUUUCUGACUGACUUAUAUCACUUAGCAUUGUACCCUGCAGAUCCAUCCGUGUUGUUACAAAUGGCAAGAUAUUCAUUCUUUCUUAUGACUAAUAUUCCAUUAUAUAUAUAUAUAUAUAUAUAUAUAUAUAUAUACACCACAUCUUAACCUAGGUUGCUACCAUAUCUUGGCUAUUAUAAAUAAUGCUGCAAGAAACAUAGGACUGCAUAUAUCUUUUCAAAUUAGAGUUUUUAUUUUCUUUGGGUACAUUGUUUUCUAAUCAUAUAAUUAUUUAAAUGAGAACUAUUCUAUACUGAUCAGAAAUGGGUCAAUGGUUACCAGUGGAUAUGUGGGGGUGUUGUUGAAGGCAUUACAAAUGCACAAGAGAACAGUUUUCCUGAUAAUAGAUGUGCUUAUUAUCUUGAAUGUGAUAGUCUUGCAUAUGUAAAAACUUAUCAAAUUGUACAUUUUGAACAUGUACAUUUUGUUCUAUGUCAAUUCUACCUGUCAAUUAUGUUAAUACCUAUGCAAAUUCUGGCAUUAAAGAAAGCACCACUAAAGGGAAAAAAAUGUCAAGAACUUGUAUCCUAAUUAAAAUAACAAUUUAUCAACAUUGGUGACUGAAAUAACAAAGAAAGAAGAAAAUGUGUAAGGUGCUAAAGUUGUUGCCUGGUGUUUUGAUGCUUAUAAUGAAAUGUGAAAAGAGAAACUAAAAGGAGUAUUAAUCAUAAAGGAGUUUAGACCUAAUUAAUGGUUUAGAAAUGUUUUAGCAUCUCCUGAAGGUCAACUAUGUUUAAGUUAUGUCUUCCAAGUAAAGAGAAAAUCCAAGAUCCUGCCAGGAAAAUAUGGUCUCAAGGUGAAGCUGAAGCUAUGGUGCUAAAAUUCUUUGUUAAAGUAUGAGAAAGACAAAAUGUUGUGCCUCAGAAUAUUAAGCUGGACAAAGGCACUUUAAAAAGUUUAAGGGUGUGCCUGGGAGAGUAUCUUCAUCACACAAUAGGGCUUUUAAGAAAUGUAAAGACUAUUAUACAAAACUCCCAAAAGAAGACCAGGGUGAAACGGGGCUUAAUGAAAGAGAUUUCGGGGAUUGGUGUUUCUUCAUAGAAUAUCAAAAAUAAUUUUGAAAGAAUUAUGUUUCCAGACAUAUCACCAAAUUUACUAACAAGGACAGAAACACCACAAAAAAGGAAAAAAAAGGACUUUGAACUCUCAAAACCUACUUAGCUGGACCACUUUCUUAUACCAUACACAAAAAUAAAUUCAAAAUGGAUGAAAGACCUAAAUUUGAAACAAAACACCAAUAAAAUCCUAGAGGAGAACACAAAAAGCAACCUCUUUGACCUUGGCCAUAGCAACUUCUUACUAGAUAUGUCUCCUGAGACAAGGGAAACACAACAAAAUAUGUACUAUUGGGACCUCAUCAAGAUAAAAAGCUUCUGCACAGUGAAGGAAACAAUUAACAAAAUGAAAAAGGCAAGUUAUAGAAUGUGAGAAGAUAUAUGCAAAUGACGUAUCAGAUAAAGAGUUAGUACCCCAAAUCCAUGAAGAAUUUACCAAACUCAACACCUCCCCAAAUAAUCUAGUUUUAAAAAGGGGCAUAAGACAUGAAUAGACUUUUUCCCAAAGAAGACAUAGAGACGGCUAACAGACACAUGCAAAAAUGCUCAACAUCAUUCAUCAUCAGGGAAAUACAAAUCAAAACGACAAUGAGAUACCACCUCACACCUGUCAGAAUGGCAAAUAUUAACAACACAAGAAACAACAGGUGUUGGUGAGGAUGCAGAGAAAGGGGAACCCUCUUGCAAUAUUGUUGGGAAUGCAAGCUAGUGUGGCCACUCUGGUGAACAGUAUGGAGGUUCCUCAAGAAACUAAAAAUAGAACUACCCUAUGAUCCAGCAAUUGCACUACUAGGUAUUUAUCCAAAGGAUACAAAAAUACUGAUCCAAAGGGGCACAUGCACCACAAUGUUUAUAACUGUAUUAUCAAUAGCCAAAUUAUAGAAAGACCCCAAAUGUCUAUCAGUUGAUGAAUGGAUGAAGAUAUAAUACACACACACACACACACACACGCACACACACGCACACACACACACACACACACUGGACUAUUACUCAGCCAUCAAACAGAAUGGAAUAUUACCAUUUGCAAUGAUUCAGAUGGAGUUAGAAUUAUGCUACAGGAAAUAAGUCAGUAAGAGAAAGACAAACACCAUAUGAUUUCACUCAUAUGGAAAUUUAAGAAACAAAACAGAUGAACAUAGAAGGAAAAAAGAAGAAAACAAAACAUAAAUGACUAUUAACUCUAGAGAACAAACUGCAGGUUCCUGGAGGGGAGGUGGGCAGGGAUGAGCCAAAUGGGUGAUGGGUAUUGAGGAGGUCAUUUGUGAUAAGCACUGGAUGUUAUAUGUAUAAGUGAUGAAUCAUUAAAUUCUAUUCCUGAAACCAAUAUACACUAUAUGUUAACUAACUAGAAUUUAUUUUAACAUAAUUUAUCCUCAAAUUGGUUUCCAUACAACAUCCAGUGCUCAUCCCAACAAGUGCCAUCCUCGAUGCCCAUCACCCACUUUCACCUCUCCCCCAAUCCCAAUCAACCCUGUUUGUAACUUCC
This is a long non-coding RNA of Panthera uncia (snow leopard), 9212 nucleotides long. RefSeq lists it as uncharacterized. Lineage: Eukaryota; Metazoa; Chordata; Mammalia; Carnivora; Felidae. The transcript is spliced from 7 exons. The record is from RefSeq and is a predicted model, not a curated record.